This 756-nucleotide ribosomal RNA is filed under the name uncultured bacterium. RNAcentral describes it as "bacterial SSU rRNA". It matches the Rfam family "Bacterial small subunit ribosomal RNA", at positions 8 to 796 of the family's 1533-position model. The record is from RNAcentral.
AGAGUUUGAUCAUGGCUCAGAAUCAACGCUGGCGGCGUGCCUAACACAUGCAAGUCGAACGAGAAAGUGGAGCAAUCCAUGAGUAAAGUGGCGACCGGGUGAGUAACACGUGACUAACCUACCUUCGAGUGGGGGAUAACAUCGGGAAACCGAUGCUAAUACCGCAUAACAUCGCAAGAUCAAAGCAGCAAUGCGCUGGAAGAGGGGGUCGCGGCUGAUUAGCUAGUUGGCGGGGUAACGGCCCACCAAGGCGAAGAUCGGUAGCCGGCCUGAGAGGGCGCACGGCCACACUGGAACUGAAACACGGUCCAGACUCCUACGGGAGGCAGCAGUGGGGAAUUUUGCGCAAUGGGGGAAACCCUGACGCAGCAACGCCGCGUGGAGGAUGAAGCCCCUUGGGGCGUAAACUCCCUUCGACCAAGACGAUAAUGACGGUACUGGUGGAAGAAGCACCGGCUAACUCUGUGCCAGCAGCCGCGGUAAUACAGAGGGUGCGAGCGUUGUUCGGAAUUAUUGGGCGUAAAGGGUGCGUAGGCGGUGCCACAAGUCACUUGUGGAAUCCCCAGGCUUAACCUGGGGCCUGCAGGCGAAACUGUGGUGCUGGAGUAUGGGAGAGGUGCGUGGAAUUCCCGGUGUAGCGGUGAAACGCGUAGAUAUCGGGAGGAACACCUGUGGCGAAAGCGGCGCACUGGACCAUAACUGACGCUGAUGCACGAAAGCUAGGGGAGCAAACAGGAUUAGAUACCCUAGUAGUCC